CUCAGUGAGGCGUCCGGACUGGCCCAGAGAGGUGGGCAACUACCACUCAGGGCCGGAAAGCUCUCCAAACUCGGUCAUUUAGAGGAAGUAAAAGUCGUAACAAGGUCUCCGUUGGUGAACCAGCGGAGGGAUCAUUACCGAGUUUACAACUCCCAAACCCCUGUGAACAUACCAAUUGUUGCCUCGGCGGAUCAGCCCGCUCCCGGUAAAACGGGACGGCCCGCCAGAGGACCCCUAAACUCUGUUUCUAUAUGUAACUUCUGAGUAAAACCAUAAAUAAAUCAAAACUUUCAACAACGGAUCUCUUGGUUCUGGCAUCGAUGAAGAACGCAGCAAAAUGCGAUAAGUAAUGUGAAUUGCAGAAUUCAGUGAAUCAUCGAAUCUUUGAACGCACAUUGCGCCCGCCAGUAUUCUGGCGGGCAUGCCUGUUCGAGCGUCAUUUCAACCCUCAAGCCCAGCUUGGUGUUGGGACUCGCGAGUUAAACCGCGUUCCCCAAAUUGAUUGGCGGUCACGUCGAGCUUCCAUAGCGUAGUAGUAAAACCCUCGUUACUGGUAAUCGUCGCGGCCACGCCGUUAAACCCCAACUUCUGAAUGUUGACCUCGGAUCAGGUAGGAAUACCCGCUGAACUUAAGCAUAUCAAUAAGCGGAGGAAAAGAAACCAACAGGGAUUGCCCUAGUAACGGCGAGUGAAGCGGCAACAGCUCAAAUUUGAAAUCUGGCUCUCGGGCCCGAGUUGUAAUUUGUAGAGGAUACUUUUGAUGCGGUGCCUUCCGAGUUCCCUGGAACGGGACGCCAUAGAGGGUGAGAGCCCCGUCUGG
RNAcentral lists this ribosomal RNA (820 nucleotides) under Fusarium begoniae. Its description in RNAcentral is "eukaryotic LSU rRNA". The stretch from base 597 to 820 matches the Rfam family "Eukaryotic large subunit ribosomal RNA", at positions 1 to 228 of the family's 3401-position model. Lineage: Eukaryota; Fungi; Ascomycota; Sordariomycetes; Hypocreales; Nectriaceae. The record is from RNAcentral.